RNAcentral lists this ribosomal RNA (480 nucleotides) under uncultured bacterium. RNAcentral describes it as "bacterial SSU rRNA". It matches the Rfam family "Bacterial small subunit ribosomal RNA", at positions 31 to 507 of the family's 1533-position model. The record is from RNAcentral.
GAACGCUGCGGCAUGCCUUACACAUGCAAGUCGAACGGCAGCACGGGAGCAAUCCUGGUGGCGAGUGGCGAACGGGUGAGUAAUAUAUCGGAACGUGCCCGGUCGUGGGGGAUAACGUAGCGAAAGCUACGCUAAUACCGCAUACGAUCUACGGAUGAAAGCGGGGGACCGCAAGACCUCGCGCGAUUGGAGCGGCCGAUAUCAGAUUAGGUAGUUGGUGAGGUAAAGGCUCACCAAGCCGACGAUCUGUAGCUGGUCUGAGAGGACGACCAGCCACACUGGGACUGAGACACGGCCCAGACUCCUACGGGAGGCAGCAGUGGGGAAUAUUGGACAAUGGGCGCAAGCCUGAUCCAGCAAUGCCGCGUGCAGGAUGAAGGCCUUCGGGUUGUAAACUGCUUUUGUACGGAACGAAACGGUGAGCUCUAAUACAGUUUGCUAAUGACGGUACCGUAAGAAUAAGCACCGGCUAACUACGUG